RNAcentral lists this ribosomal RNA (522 nucleotides) under Marginopora vertebralis. RNAcentral describes it as "SSU rRNA". The stretch from base 1 to 379 matches the Rfam family "Eukaryotic small subunit ribosomal RNA", at positions 733 to 1114 of the family's 1831-position model. The record is from RNAcentral. Lineage: Eukaryota; Foraminifera; Miliolida; Soritidae.
AAUAAAACAUAUAUACACAAUACUGUGAACAAACCAGAGUGUAUAAAACAUGUAAUAUAUUAUAUAUUUAGCAAUGAAUGUUUUAUCAUGGAAUAUUGCUAUAAUGAAUAUUAAUAUCGAUGGAGAUAGUUGGAGUUAAGAGUACUGAUAGGCGAGCGGUGAAAUGCAUUGACCCUAUUAAGACUAACAAAAGCGAAAGCACUUAACUAGAUUAUUCUCUUUGUAUUAUUUUACAAUGAAGAGCGAAGGUUGGGGGAACAAAGAGGAUCAGAUACCCUCGUAGUCCUAUUUUUACAUCAAACUAUGGGAUUUCAUUCACACUAAACACUAAACAUUAUAAUUAUAAUUAUGAUUGAGUAUAUGUCAAAAUAUUACUCUCAUAUUAAAUAAUUAUUAUAUAUAUGAUUAUAUGUACUUUGAGCUCAUAUAAUUAUAUAGGUGAGAUGUAAGCAUUAUAAAGUGAAUAAUAUACAAGUAAUAUUGUAUUAUUAUGAUCUUUAAAAUAAAAAAUGUAAUGUGAUG